Molecule: ribosomal RNA, 391 nt
Filed under: Superacla choreutes
Lineage: Eukaryota; Metazoa; Arthropoda; Insecta; Orthoptera; Phalangopsidae
Description: partial 12S ribosomal RNA
Source: RNAcentral
UAUUAUAUUACGUGUAAUGUGUAGUCCUUGGGUAGUAUUAGUUAAGGUCUUAAAACUCAAAGAAUUUGGCGGUAUUGUAGUCUUUUCAGAGGAAUCUGUCCUUUAAUUGACAAUACACGAUCUGUUAUACUUUAUUUUGUAYAGUUUGUAUACCGCCGUCAUAAGAUUAUCUUGUUGGAGGGGUUUAAUUUUCUGGAUUUGAGAUUUUAAAGUAUGUCAGGUCAAGGUGCAGCUUAUGGUGAAGAAGAGAUGGAUUACAAUAAUUUUGAUUAUACGGAUGGUUGAURUAAGUGUUGAGUUGAAGGUGGAUUUGAUUGUAAAUUUGUUGUUGACUAAUUGAUUUUGGCUCUAUAAUGUGUACACAUCGCCCGUCGCUCUCGCUUUAUGUGAG